UAGAGUUUGAUCCUGGCUCAGGAUGAACGCUGGCGGCGUGCUUAACACAUGCAAGUCGAACGAACCUUCGGGUUAGUGGCGGACGGGUGAGUAACGCGUGAGAAUCUGCCCUCAGGAGGGGGAUAACGGCUGGAAACGGCCGCUAAUACCCCAUAUGCCGAGAGGUGAAAUGAAAUUCGCCUGAGGAUGAGCUCGCGUCUGAUUAGCUAGUUGGUGGGGUAAGAGCCUACCAAGGCAUCGAUCAGUAGCUGGUCUGAGAGGAUGAUCAGCCACACUGGGACUGAGACACGGCCCAGACUCCUACGGGAGGCAGCAGUGGGGAAUUUUCCGCAAUGGGCGAAAGCCUGACGGAGCAACGCCGCGUGAGGGACGAAGGCCUCUGGGCUGUAAACCUCUUUUCUCAAGGAAGAAGAUCUGACGGUACUUGAGGAAUAAGCCACGGCUAAUUCCGUGCCAGCAGCCGCGGUAAUACGGGAGUGGCAAGCGUUAUCCGGAAUUAUUGGGCGUAAAGCGUCCGCAGGCGGUCUUGUAAGUCUGUCGUUAAAGCGUGGAGCUUAACUCCAUUUAAGCGAUGGAAACUGCAAGACUAGAGUGUGGUAGGGGCAGAGGGAAUUCCCGGUGUAGCGGUGAAAUGCGUAGAUAUCGGGAAGAACACCAGUGGCGAAGGCGCUCUGCUGGGCCAUAACUGACGCUCAUGGACGAAAGCCAGGGGAGCGAAAGGGAUUAGAUACCCCUGUAGUCCUGGCCGUAAACGAUGAACACUAGGUGUCGGGGGAAUCGACCCCCUCGGUGUCGUAGCCAACGCGUUAAGUGUUCCGCCUGGGGAGUACGCACGCAAGUGUGAAACUCAAAGGAAUUGACGGGGGCCCGCACAAGCGGUGGAGUAUGUGGUUUAAUUCGAUGCAACGCGAAGAACCUUACCAGGGUUUGACAUCCUGCGAACCCCUUGGAAACGAGGGGGUGCCUUCGGGAGCGCAGUGACAGGUGGUGCAUGGCUGUCGUCAGCUCGUGUCGUGAGAUGUUGGGUUAAGUCCCGCAACGAGCGCAACCCACGUCUUUAGUUGCCAGCAUUGAGUUGGGCACUCUAGAGAGACCGCCGGUGAUAAACCGGAGGAAGGUGUGGAUGACGUCAAGUCAUCAUGCCCCUUACAUCCUGGGCUACACACGUACUACAAUGCUACGGACAAAGGGCAGCAAACUCGCGAGAGCUAGCAAAUCCCAUAAACCGUGGCUCAGUUCAGAUCGUAGGCUGCAACUCGCCUACGUGAAGGAGGAAUCGCUAGUAAUCGCAGGUCAGCAUACUGCGGUGAAUACGUUCCCGGGCCUUGUACACACCGCCCGUCACACCAUGGAAGUUGGCCACGCCCGAAGCCGUUACUCCAACCCUUGUGGAGGAGGACGUCGAAGGUGGGGCUGAUGACUGGGGUGAAGUCGUAACAAGGUAGCCGUACCGGAAGGUGCGGCUGGAUCACCUCCUAA
RNAcentral lists this ribosomal RNA (1479 nucleotides) under Synechococcus sp. 0BB22S0. RNAcentral describes it as "bacterial SSU rRNA". It matches the Rfam family "Bacterial small subunit ribosomal RNA". The record is from RNAcentral. Lineage: Bacteria; Bacillati; Cyanobacteriota; Cyanophyceae; Synechococcales; Synechococcaceae.